CGGUGAUAUAAUUAAACGGCUGCAGUACUCUGACUGUGCAAAGGUAGCAUGAUCAAUUGUCUGGUAAUUCCAGUCUGGUAUGAAUGGUUAGACGAUAGGAACGCUGUCUUUUUCUCUCUUGAUGAAAUUGACUACCAGGUGCGGAGGCCUGGAUUGGAGACAGGGACGAGAAGACCCUAUAGUUCUCCAACUUUAGCUAUAAAAUCAUUGUUAAGGUGUGUGUUUUAGUUGGGGCAACUAUUCUUAUUAUUAAACAUUUAUAGUAAUCUAGUAAAUUUAAUUUGUGUGGACCCUAAAUUUUUAGGUAGUUAGAAAAAGUUACCUUAGGGAUAACAGCGUAAAAUUUCUCUUGAGAGUUCUUAUUAA
This 366-nucleotide ribosomal RNA is filed under the name Ophiocoma echinata. RNAcentral describes it as "partial 16S ribosomal RNA". It matches the Rfam family "Bacterial large subunit ribosomal RNA", at positions 1864 to 2508 of the family's 2925-position model. Lineage: Eukaryota; Metazoa; Echinodermata; Ophiuroidea; Amphilepidida; Ophiocomidae. The record is from RNAcentral.